Non-coding RNA from Podarcis lilfordi (Lilford's wall lizard), 150 nucleotides. The record is from the annotation of a GenBank genome assembly. NCBI's taxonomy places the organism in Eukaryota, Metazoa, Chordata, Lepidosauria, Squamata, Lacertidae.
UCCCCCUCUCUGCGCAGCGCCCCUUCAGCGAAGCGGCAGGAGAAAUGGAAGGGGCUCCGUUUCUCCUGCCGCUUCGCUGAAGGGGCGCUGCGCAGAGAGGGGGAGAAUAUUUUUUUCUUGUUCUCCCCCUCUAAAACAAGGUGUGUCCUA